GGUGGGGUGGCUGAGUGGUCGAAAGCGGCGGUCUUGAAAACCGUUGAACCGCGAGGUUCCCAGAGUUCGAAUCUCUGCCCCACCGCCA
RNAcentral lists this transfer RNA (88 nucleotides) under Thalassocella blandensis. RNAcentral describes it as "Teredinibacter sp. ISS155 tRNA-Ser". It matches the Rfam family "tRNA". From Rfam's summary of the family: Transfer RNA (tRNA) molecules are approximately 80 nucleotides in length. Their secondary structure includes four short double-helical elements and three loops (D, anti-codon, and T loops). Further hydrogen bonds mediate the characteristic L-shaped molecular structure. tRNAs have two regions of fundamental functional importance: the anti-codon, which is responsible for specific mRNA codon recognition, and the 3' end, to which the tRNAs corresponding amino acid is attached (by aminoacyl-tRNA synthetases). tRNAs cope with the degeneracy of the genetic code in two manners: having more than one tRNA (with a specific anti-codon) for a particular amino acid; and 'wobble' base-pairing, i.e. permitting non-standard base-pairing at the 3rd anti-codon position. The record is from RNAcentral. Lineage: Bacteria; Pseudomonadati; Pseudomonadota; Gammaproteobacteria; Cellvibrionales; Cellvibrionaceae.